Bombyx mori (domestic silkworm) is the source of this 1136-nucleotide long non-coding RNA. RefSeq lists it as uncharacterized. NCBI's taxonomy places the organism in Eukaryota, Metazoa, Arthropoda, Insecta, Lepidoptera, Bombycidae. The transcript is spliced from 2 exons. The record is from RefSeq and is a predicted model, not a curated record.
UUUAAUUAUCCAUUAAUAUUGAUCAUGGUUUAUAAAAGCUAUUUUUGUCUAUCUUCAGUAUAUUCUCUUUGGAAUCUUAUAUCACUUUUGACGCAAUUGAAUGAAGUGAUUACAAUCUAAUUAUAUUUUCAAUGACAGGUAGAUGUUUUACUUGUUGCGAUGAUACUUUAUCAUCGAUUAAUUGUUCUUUUAUAUGUUAUCUACUUAAAGUAUAUAAUGCUGACAUCAUCAAGAGAUGAACAUGGUGAUGAAGUAUUCGACGAGACAUGGAAGACGAAAGCCAUAAAAGAUAUCGCAUUUUACAUAAGAAAUCAUAAGUUUAAUGAAUGGGAUCGAAGAUUUUACAGAAAUAAAACCAAUCGAAACACCUUUGGAUUUUAUACUAAAUUUCCGGAACCAAGUCUACGAUCUUUGCAUUGGGAAGUUCAUGAAAAUUGUUAUAACGAUUUCUAUAAAUGUAUUAGCUAUAUACAUAAAGUUAUUGAAGUGGCACCAUUCAAAAGAAGGGAUGAUACCGUAACAAUUUUAAACAAUAACUCAACUUUAGUAGAUCUCAAUUUGAUCAACAAAUUAGAUCAAGAUUGUAAAAAAAUAUUAUUUUAUGCAGAUAAAACAGGAUUGCCAUUUGAUGGACCACAAGAACGAUUCAUAUGGCGUGUAUCAGUUUCAUACUUUAUGUGCUGGUAUACAAUGCGGGGAAUAGCUGAUUUAUCUAUACUUGGCGAACCUUGCGAUAAUUUUGCAAAUUGUUUGGAUCCAAAGUUCGUGAAAAAUCUAAUAUCACUCAAGACAUAUUAUUGUGCAAGCUUAUUCAAAAAGAGAAUAAAAUAUUUGAUGGCAUCAUCAUGAAUAAAUGGAACAUUUCGUGUCAAAAAAGUAAAUCGAUUUAAUUCACUUGCAAAAGACAAAGUGAAACUCAUACCUUAGCUCGCACAUCCUGUCUGUUGCGAUAAUGAUGCCUCGAUUUAUCCUCAGACCGAUAUCGUUUGUCAAGUUUCUUGUACAGUCUCGCACCACUUGUGUGCUUUUUGGAUGAAAUACAUGAUGGUGAAUCAGCGAACCCCGCCGGAGCUGGUACUAUAUCUGGAGUAGCAUCUGCGUACGAUUCCUGAAAUAUACUUAACUGUAGCUAUCCA